RNAcentral lists this ribosomal RNA (503 nucleotides) under uncultured bacterium. Its description in RNAcentral is "partial 16S ribosomal RNA". It matches the Rfam family "Bacterial small subunit ribosomal RNA", at positions 28 to 523 of the family's 1533-position model. The record is from RNAcentral.
GAUGAACGCUAGCGACAGGCUUAACACAUGCAAGUCGAGGGGCAGCGGGGUGUGGCAACACACUGCCGGCGACCGGCGCACGGGUGAGUAACGCGUAUGCAACUUGCCUAUCAGAGGGGGAUAACCCGGCGAAAGUCGGACUAAUACCGCAUAAAACAGGGGUUCCGCAUGGGGAUAUUUGUUAAAGAUUCAUCGCUGAUAGAUAGGCAUGCGUUCCAUUAGGCAGUUGGCGGGGUAACGGCCCACCAAACCGACGAUGGAUAGGGGUUCUGAACGGAAGGACCCCCACAUUGGUACUGAGACACGGACCAAAGUCCUACGGGAGGCAGCAGUGAGGAAUAUUGGUCAAUGGCCGGGAGGCUGAACCAGCCAAGUCGCGUGAAGGAUGAAGGUUCUAUGGAUUGUAAACUUCUUUUGUGCGGGAAUAAAGUCGGGGAUGCGUCCCCGUUUGCAUGUACCGUACGAAUAAGCAUCGGCUAACUCCGUGCCAGCAGCCGCAGUAA